This 254-nucleotide ribosomal RNA is filed under the name uncultured bacterium. RNAcentral describes it as "partial 16S ribosomal RNA". It matches the Rfam family "Bacterial small subunit ribosomal RNA", at positions 524 to 776 of the family's 1533-position model. The record is from RNAcentral.
UACGUAGGGUGCGAGCGUUGUCCGGAAUUACUGGGCGUAAAGAGCUCGUAGGUGGUUUGUCGCGUUGUUCGUGAAAACUCACAGCUUAACUGUGGGCGUGCGGGCGAUACGGGCAGACUGGAGUACUGCAGGGGAGACUGGAAUUCCUGGUGUAGCGGUGGAAUGCGCAGAUAUCAGGAGGAACACCGGUGGCGAAGGCGGGUCUCUGGGCAGUAACUGACGCUGGAGGAGCGAAAGCGUGGGGAGCGAACAGG